AUACGUAGGGGGCAAGCGUUAUCCGGAUUUACUGGGUGUAAAGGGAGCGUAGACGGAAGGCCAAGUCUGAUGUGAAAGCCCGCGGCUCAACUGCGGGACUGCAUUGGAAACUGGUCAUCUGGAGUGCAGGAGGGGUAAGCGGAAUUCCUAGUGUAGCGGUGAAAUGCGUAGAUAUUAGGAGGAACACCGGUGGCGAAGGCGGCUUACUGGGCUUUUACUGACGCUGAGGCUCGAAAGCGUGGGGAGCAAACAGGAUUAGAUACCCUGGUAGUCCACGCUGUAAACGAUGAAUACUAGGUGUAGGGGGUAUCAACUCCCUCUGUGCCGCAGCAAACGCAAUAAGUAUUCCGCCUGGGGAGUACGGCCGCAAGGUUGAAACUCAAAUGAAUUGACGGGG
This 397-nucleotide ribosomal RNA is filed under the name uncultured bacterium. Its description in RNAcentral is "partial 16S ribosomal RNA". It matches the Rfam family "Bacterial small subunit ribosomal RNA", at positions 523 to 918 of the family's 1533-position model. The record is from RNAcentral.